ACUGCAGAUCAGGUACAGAACACUUCCAUCACAGUGGAAAGCUCUAUUGGACAGAAUUGUUCUAGAAUCUUCGGGGCACUGGGAAUCUUCAAGACCAUUUGCAGAGCUUUCCACCUGGGGUCUUCAACUGGGCUACAGCACCUCCAUGGGGCUCGAGCAAGACCGACAAAGUCAGCCCUGUGAAUACGGGGUGGCCCCCUCCCCAGCUGCUGGAAGUGCUCAGCCAGAGCCAUAACUGCAUCUCGGGAGCCCUGCGCUGUCCGCAUCCAGCCAGCGCCUGGAGGGCUUAGGGCCAAAGAGGAGCACACGUUGAGGGCUCGGAGAAUAAAAACCAUUUCAGCAAAGGCAGUUGAACUGGACCGGAUUUUCUCUGAGUGAAACACAUUGCAUUUAUCUGCGUAUUUAAGGUUGAAGAAUAAUAAAAAGCUGGAGAAAAAGAAACUUUUGUCUACAAUGUAUGCAGACUAUUCUUGAUGAAGUCCAUGUUUUCCUUAGGUCCCUGAAUCAACACGAACACUUCCUAAUGCUCUGUAAAUAUAGAAACGUACAACUUCCGGUGUGAUAGGGACCGUCUUCCUAUGUCGGUUUGACGUUGCACCUGCAAACACCACACGCGUGCAGUAAUGGAUGGUCAAAUUGCUCGAGUGGUUGCCCCUGGAUGGCUCCCACCGAAUGAAAAUGACCAGCAUGUCUCCUGAUUUGUUGAGGCAAUGAAUAAUUUACUUUAAAUUUAGACUACAAAUUGGCACCACCGUUACUAAAAUGUAGUCAAGCAGGCACAUAAAUCAAGGCGACCUAUGAAUACACAGGGUAUCAAUUUUCAUAUACAGGUCCAAAGGAUAACACGGUUUAGGAAACACAAAAGGUAUCUGUUGCGCAGGCAUUUGUUUGUUCCUUCCUUCCUUCACUCAUUCACUCAUACAACAGAUUUAAUCAAUGUCUAUUUAUAAAGUGCCAGAU
Molecule: long non-coding RNA, 960 nt
Organism: Acinonyx jubatus (cheetah)
Lineage: Eukaryota; Metazoa; Chordata; Mammalia; Carnivora; Felidae
Exons: 3
Source: RefSeq, a predicted model, not a curated record